Macadamia integrifolia is the source of this 429-nucleotide long non-coding RNA. RefSeq lists it as uncharacterized. The record is from RefSeq and is a predicted model, not a curated record. Lineage: Eukaryota; Viridiplantae; Streptophyta; Magnoliopsida; Proteales; Proteaceae. The transcript is spliced from 3 exons.
UAAUGGCAAGCAGGAAGGACGAGGUGGUGUGCGUUACAGGGGGAAGCGGCUUCAUAGGUUCAUGGCUGGUUCGUCUUCUCCUCGACUGUGGCUACACCGUCCACGCCACCGUCAAAGAUCUCAAUGACGAGAGAGAAACGAAGCAUUUAGAAGCCCUAGAAGGAGCAGAUUCGCAUCUCCGUCUCUUCCAGAUCGAUCUCCUUGACUAUGAUUCCCUCCUAGCUGCCAUCAAUGGCACCGUCGGUGUCUUCCACCUGGCUUCCCCCUGCAUUGUCGAUCGAGUUCUGGAUCCCCAGAAGGAACUUUUGGAGCCGGUGAUCAGUGGGAAGAUAAAUGCACUAAAAGUGGCGAAGAAGUGCAGGGUGAGGCGAGUGGUGGUGACCUCAUCGAUAUCCGCCAUCAUUCCCAGCCCCAACUGGCCUGCCGAUG